ACUGCACAUGCAGACUGUCACCUGCCACUAUUUCCUCCCUUCAGAUGGGUGAAGGAUGCCCUACUUUCAAGUCAUCGUUACUUAUCUUGGUGUCACACAGGGCUGUCAGACAUCUGGGGUCCUGAUGG
Molecule: non-coding RNA, 128 nt
Filed under: Homo sapiens (human)
Lineage: Eukaryota; Metazoa; Chordata; Mammalia; Primates; Hominidae
Source: RNAcentral